GAUGAACGCUGGCGGCGUGCCUAAUACAUGCAAGUCGAGCGAACAGACGAGGAGCUUGCUCCUCUGACGUUAGCGGCGGACGGGUGAGUAACACGUGGAUAACCUACCUAUAAGACUGGGAUAACUUCGGGAAACCGGAGCUAAUACCGGAUAAUAUAUUGAACCGCAUGGUUCAAUAGUGGAAGACGGUUUUGCUGUCACUUAUAGAUGUAUCCGCGCCGCAUUAGCUAGUUGGUAAGGUAACGGCUUACCAAGGCAACGAUGCGUAGCCGACCUGAGAGGGUGAGCGGCCACACUGGAACUGAGACACGGUCCAGACUCCUACGGGAGGCAGCAGUAGGGAAUCUUCCGCAAUGGGCGAAAGCCUGACGGAGCAACGCCGCGUGAGUGAUGAAGGUCUUCGGAUCGUAAAACUCUGUUAUUAGGGAAGAACAAAUGUGUAAGUAACUAUGCACGUCUUGACGGUACCUAAUCAGAAAGCCACGGCUAACUACGUG
Molecule: ribosomal RNA, 497 nt
Filed under: uncultured bacterium
Lineage: Bacteria
Description: partial 16S ribosomal RNA
Rfam family: Bacterial small subunit ribosomal RNA
Source: RNAcentral